RNAcentral lists this long non-coding RNA (2628 nucleotides) under Sus scrofa (pig). Its description in RNAcentral is "lncRNA (ENSSSCG00060033880.1)". The record is from RNAcentral. Lineage: Eukaryota; Metazoa; Chordata; Mammalia; Artiodactyla; Suidae.
CAGGAGCAAAUACAGAGUAUUUGGGUAGUGAAUAUAUGUGCAAUUUAUUUAAUCUGUAUUUUUGUUAUAUUUUUAAAUUUUUACUUUCCCAUGUGCAGUUCCACCCCAGGGCCUUUGCAUUUACCCUUCCCAGAAUGUUUUUCCUCCAGACAUCCACGUGGUUCCCUCCUUUGUUUCAUUCAUAAUUUGCUCACAUGACACCUUAUCAGAGACACUUGCCUUGACUAUUUAUUCUAAAUGAAAUUGCAUCAUGAGUCCUCCACAUCUUUUUCUAUCCUCUCGCCCUGCCACAUGUUUGUUUAUGGCUUCUCUGCCCCUACAAAAGGUAAGCUCCUACUAUAGUCUGAAUGUCGCUUGAGAAUUCAUACGUUGAAACCUAAUGCUCAAUGUGAUGGUAUUAGGAGGUGGGGGCCUUUGGGAAGUGAUCAGGCCAUGAGAGUAAGAGCCAUUAUGAAUGAUCAGUAUCCUUAAAAAAAAGACUCCAAAGAGCUCCCUUCCACCAUGUGAAGACAGCAGAAAGACUGCCAUGAGGAAGCACGCCCUUACCAGAUACCGAAUCUAUUGGUACCUUGAUUUUCGACUUCCUAUCACCCAGAACUGUGAAAAAUAAAUUCUGUUGUUUAUAAGCCACCCAAUCUAUGGUAGUCUGUCACAGCAGCCAAAAAAGGGCUUAGACCACUCCAGAGAAUAGAGAUGUGGCUGCAUUUAACUAGGAUCCCUCCAGCUCCUACAGUACUGGGUAGGUGGAAAUCCAUCAAUAAAUAUCAGUGAAUGAAUGAAUUUAAGAAGCCAAAGAUGAAAAGAUAAUAUAUUUGGUUUUGAAACAGAGGGGACAGGAUCAUUAAAUUUCACUCUGUAAGUUAUCCACCUUGUCCUGCCAAUUUAUUUACAACAUAAAGUUCACAACACUGGAACCAAUUAUAGUCUCACUACUUCUUAUAAUAUUUAAGACAGGCUAUUGCAAUCUGAGAGAAACUGACUAUAGAUCCCAGAACUUUGUUUUAUGCUUUCCCCAUGUCUUCAAUAACAGGAAGGAAAAUAAAACAAGCAAAGAAUCAACAACAAAAAAGAAAACGUAAACUCAGGCUGGAGGAGGUAAUAUUUGUUUUUUAAAAAAUUAUCAUAUGCUCUUUGACAGUUUGAUCUUUACAGAUAAAAGAAAGAAGUGUACAAAUGUAGAAUAUGAAUUUUUUUUAUUUCUUUAAAUAUAUAUGUCAUGAUAACUAUAUGACUUGAGUUAUAACAUAGCUUUAUUGCUAUAGUAGAAAUAACUGAGCUUUGGUGAAUUAGUGUCUUUUUCCAUCGUGAGAUGGACACCGUCAAGGCAAACAGAAGAUGAAGAUGGUGCCUGCAUCUAUGAGGUGAGAGAGUUAAGUGCUGCACUGCUGUGCUAAGCACAGAGCAUGGGCAUAUGGGCUGGGUUUUUCUAGGCCCAGGAAAAGCUUCAGGCAAGGACAGGGACAAGGGAUAUACCUACUCUGCUCCAAGCACUGCCCACAGGUCAAAGCAGCUUCUCUGUGAGUCAAUGCUUUAGUUACAAACAAUUGUCUCAGGAGUGAGAUCAUUAAUCACAUUUUAACUGAGGAUACUGCAAACCCCAAGAAGGCAUCAGAAGACUUUUUAAAUCCUUCUAUAUCAUAAUUAUCCAGUUUUUUGGUCCAAAUGUAAAGUUCAUAGAGGUUGUCUAUAAAAAAUAAAGUGGUACAAAAGGAAACCUUAUUUGAAAGUAAAAGUUAAGAAGCAAGGGGUUGUAAGUGAAUUUGAAGUCCAGUCUACAGUGUUGUUAUAGUUACCUAAGACAAACAGCUGUGAUUAUUGUGAUUUGUACACCUUUAGAAACAGAAUAGAUAACAGGAAAGGGUGCGGGGGUCUUGGAGAUGUAGCUAUUCAAUUAAAUAAUAAUUCAGUGGCCACCUGCUAUGUGUAUUGCCCCAACUGUUCCUAGGGAGUCAAUGGUAAAUAAGACUAAAUCUUUAUCCAAAGAAAGCUUUACAGUAUAGCAAGGGUAAAAUGGUAGCUACAUGACUGACUAUAAUACAUGCUAGAAAAAGAAAAGGUAUAUGCUAUAACGGGACAGAAACCAAAGUCUCUGAGGUACAAAGAUGAUGACAUUACAUGUUUUGGGGGAUCCAAUAUGGAAGUAAACCAUGAGAAAUGGAUUGUAAGAAUGGCUAUUGUAGGUAGACAGAACUUCAAGAGCAAUAGUAACGAAUGAGGAAGAAUAAGUAUGAAUAAAAAGAAGUUCAGCUUAUUAGCUCAGAGGGAAUAUACAGUGGAGCAGUGCUAAGAUGCAAUAUUGGAACGCAAAACGAUAUUAGAAAAAAUUAGAAUAUGGUAAAGGUUUUACCAUUUAUCCAUCAUGAAUGAAUGGUACCCUAACAGCAAUGACAAUGAACUGAGAUGGAAGAGUGAGGCGAUGAGAUGGCUUGUUAGGAUGCAACCGCAGUCCAGGUAAGCAGUGAUAAGAGUCUGGAAUAAAGUGAUGAUAAUCAAAAUUGGCAAGAGCAACAGCAUUAACACAGGAGGGAAAACUGGAUUUGUAUAGGAUUGGCUACAGAGACACCAGGGAAGGGGAAGGGCCUGUUAAUGACAGUUCUAAGCUAUGGAGCUUCAGUGACACAGGGAGUG